RNAcentral lists this ribosomal RNA (253 nucleotides) under uncultured bacterium. Its description in RNAcentral is "partial 16S ribosomal RNA". It matches the Rfam family "Bacterial small subunit ribosomal RNA", at positions 524 to 776 of the family's 1533-position model. The record is from RNAcentral.
UACGUAGGGUGCAAGCGUUAAUCGGAAUUACUGGGCGUAAAGCGUGCGCAGGCGGUGAUGUAAGACAGAUGUGAAAUCCCCGGGCUCAACCUGGGAACUGCAUUUGUGACUGCAUCGCUGGAGUACGGCAGAGGGGGAUGGAAUUCCGCGUGUAGCAGUGAAAUGCGUAGAGAUGUGGAGGAACACCGAUGGCGAAGGCAGCCUCCUGGGCCAGUACUGACGCUCAUGCACGAAAGCGUGGGGAGCAAACAGG